RNAcentral lists this ribosomal RNA (2324 nucleotides) under human gut metagenome. Its description in RNAcentral is "bacterial LSU rRNA". It matches the Rfam family "Bacterial large subunit ribosomal RNA", at positions 14 to 2374 of the family's 2925-position model. The record is from RNAcentral.
AGAGCGCAGGGUGGAUGCCUUGGCACUAAGAGCCGAAGAAAGACGUGAUAAGCUGCGAAAAGCUGCGGGGAGGAGCAAAUAUCCACUGAUCCGCAGAUGUCUGAAUGGGGAAACCCGCAUGAGCAUACCUCAUGCAUCCAUACGCCAAUCCAUAACGUAUGGAGGGGAACCGCCUGAACUGAAACAUCUAAGUAGGGCGAGGAAGAGAAAGAAAAUUUAUCGAUUUCCAAAGUAGCGGCGAGCGAAAUGGAAAGAGGCCAAACCGGAGUGCGUGCACUCCGGGGUUCGGACCGCAUUUAAGAUUCAGUAAAUCUAGCAGAAAGGUUUUGGGAAAGCCUGCCGGAGAGGGUGAAAGCCCCGUAAGCGAAAGAGGAACUGACUGAGCGGUAUCCAGAGUACAUCGAGACACGAGAAACCUUGAUGGAAUGAGCGGGGACCACCCCGUAAGCCUAAAUACUCCUUAGUGACCGAUAGCGCAUAGUACUGUGAAGGAAAGGUGAAAAGGACCCCGGGAGGGGAGUGAAAGAGAACCUGAAACCCUGUGUUUACAAGCUGUGGAACCACCAUAUGAGUGGAACCGCGUACUUUUUGUAGAACGGUCCGGCGAGUUAUGGUUGCUGGCAAGGUUAAGGACGAAAAGUCCGGAGCCGAAGGGAAACCGAGUCUUAAUAGGGCGCCAAGUCAGCAGACAUAGACCCGAAACCGGGUGACCUACCCAUGUCCAGGUUGAAGCCGCUGUAAAAGGCGGUGGAGGACCGAACGCACAUCUGUUGAAAAAGGUGGCGAUGAGGUGUGGGUAGCGGAGAAAUUCCAAUCGAACUCGGAGAUAGCUGGUUCUCUCCGAAAUAGCUUUAGGGCUAGCCUCGGUUUGAGAUUACUGGAGGUAAAGCACUGAAUGGGCUAGGGGCCGAGAGGUUACUGAACCCUAUCAAACUCAGAAUGCCAGAUAAUCAUAACCGGGAGUCAGACAGUGUGAGAUAAGUUUCAUUGUCGAAAGGGAAAGAGCCCAGACCCACAGCUAAGGUCCCAAAGUAUAGUUAAGUGGAAAAGGAUGUGGGGUUGCACAGACAACCAGGAUGUUGGCUCAGAAGCAGCCAUUCAUUCAAAGAGUGCGUAAUAGCUCACUGGUCGAGAGGCCCUGCGCCGAAAAUGUCCGGGGCUGAAACGUACCACCGAAACUAAGGGAUCCGCAAGGAUCGGUAGAGGAGCAUUGCAUGCGGGAGGAAGCAGUACCGUAAGGAGCUGUGGACUGCAUGGAAGAGAGAAUGCCGGAAUGAGUAGCGAGAUAAAGGUGAGAAUCCUUUAGGCCGAAUAUCCAAGGUUUCCAGGGUAAAGCUGAUCUGCCCUGGGUAAGUCGGGGCCUAAGGCGAGGUCGAAAGACGUAGCCGAUGGACAACAGGUUGAAAUUCCUGUACUGCGAUAUAUCAGAAAUGUGGGGACACAGAAGGAAAGUGUGAGCCGGGAAAGGAAAGACCGGUGCAAGCACAGGAGGAGAGAUGCAGGCAAAUCCGCAUCUUAAUCCAAUGGUGUGACGCGGAGCGAACAAAAGUAGCGAAGCACAUGGACCAUCUGUCGAGAAAAGCCGCUAUUGUGUAUAUUGUACCCGUACCGUAAACCGACACAGGUGGAUGAGGAGAGAAUCCUAAGGCCGGCGGGAGAAGCAUUGUUAAGGAACUCGGCAAAAUGACCCCGUAACUUCGGGAGAAGGGGUGCCCUGUGAAAGCAGGGCCGCAGAGAAUAGGCUCAAGCAACUGUUUAGCAAAAACACAGGUCUAUGCGAAACCGAAAGGUGAGGUAUAUGGGCUGACGCCUGCCCGGUGCUGGAAGGUUAAGAGGAGAAGUCAGGCAACGAAGCUUCGAAUUUAAGCCCCAGUAAACGGCGGCCGUAACUAUAACGGUCCUAAGGUAGCGAAAUUCCUUGUCGGGUAAGUUCCGACCCGCACGAAAGGCGUAAUGAUUUGAGCACUGUCUCGACAAUGCAUCCGGUGAAAUUGAAGUACCAGUGAAGAUGCUGGUUACCUGCGCCAGGACGGAAAGACCCCAUGGAGCUUUACUCCAGCUUGAUACUGGGAUUCGAUACUGUAUGUACAGGAUAGGUGGGAGACGUUGAGCAUAGAACGCCAGUUUUAUGUGAGUCGCUGUUGGGAUACCACCCUUGCAGUAUUGGAUUUCUAACCUGCACCCAUGACCUGGGUGGGGGACAAUGUCUGGCGGGGAGUUUGACUGGGGCGGUCGCCUCCGAAAGGGUAUCGGAGGCGCUCAAAGGUUCCCUCAGAAUGGUUGGAAACCAUUCGAAGAGUGCAAAGGCAGAAGGGAGCUUGACU